UACGUAGGGGGCAAGCGUUGUCCGGAAUCAUUGGGCGUAAAGAGCGUGUAGGCGGCUCGAUAAGUCUGCUGUGAAAGUCCAGGGCUCAACCCUGGAAGGCCGGUGGAAACUGUAGGGCUAGAGUCCGGAAGAGGCGAGUGGAAUUCCCGGUGUAGCGGUGAAAUGCGCAGAUAUCGGGAGGAACACCAAUGGCGAAGGCAGCUCGCUGGGACGGUACUGACGCUGAGACGCGAAAGCGUGGGGAGCAAACAGG
This 253-nucleotide ribosomal RNA is filed under the name uncultured bacterium. RNAcentral's name for it is "partial 16S ribosomal RNA". It matches the Rfam family "Bacterial small subunit ribosomal RNA", at positions 524 to 776 of the family's 1533-position model. The record is from RNAcentral.